AUGGCCUGGCCUCCUGUCCUGCUCCUCUUCCUGCUAGCUCAGUACCCAGGGUCCUGGGCGCAGACUGGACUGACACAGGAGGUAUCGGUGUCAGGGUCUGUGGGACAGACAGUCACCCUCACCUGCACUGGAAACAGCAACAAUGUUGGUUACUAUAGUACAGGCUGGUACCAGCAGAUUCCUGGUGCUGCCCCCAAGCUUGUGAUGGAUGGAAGUAGUAGACCCACAGGGAUCCCAGAUCGGUUCACAGGUUCUCAAUCUGGAAACAAGGCCUCUCUAACCAUCUCAGGCAUCCAGUCUGAGGAUGAGGCUGAUUAUUACUGUUCUUCAUGGGACAAAAGUAUCAGCGGUGCCACAGUGCUUCAGAUUCAAGGGGAAAUGAGACAGAAACCCAGCCCUGGUCUAAGUGAUCCCCCACAGAUCAGCCUGUGUCAUACUGGAAACAGCUGUGGACACUGCACUGUCUGGAUGAUAAGUAUGCAAAAGGAAGAAAAAGACAAAGAAGAGCAGACCUCAGUUCCUGCUCAGGGUGAAGCAGAGAUCUCCAAUAUGGGCAACAAAUUUGCAUGA
Molecule: non-coding RNA, 570 nt
Organism: Sorex araneus (European shrew)
Lineage: Eukaryota; Metazoa; Chordata; Mammalia; Eulipotyphla; Soricidae
Source: the annotation of a RefSeq genome assembly